Molecule: ribosomal RNA, 267 nt
Filed under: uncultured bacterium
Lineage: Bacteria
Description: partial 16S ribosomal RNA
Rfam family: Bacterial small subunit ribosomal RNA
Source: RNAcentral
GUCCACGCUGUAAACGAUGAAUACUAGGUAUUGAAGGAUUUGACCCCUACAGUGCCGUAGCUAACGCGUUAAGUAUUCCGCCUGGGAAGUACGGUCGCAAGACUAAAACUCAAAGGAAUUGACGGGGGCCCGCACAAGCGGUGGAUUAUGUGGUUUAAUUCGAAGCAACGCGCAAAACCUUACCAAGGCUUGAAAUCCCACGAACCUGCUUUAAAACGGCGGGGUGCUCUUCGGAGAAUGUGGUGACAGGCGCUGCAUGGCUGUCGU